Molecule: ribosomal RNA, 864 nt
Filed under: uncultured archaeon
Lineage: Archaea
Description: SSU rRNA
Rfam family: Archaeal small subunit ribosomal RNA
Source: RNAcentral
AACCAGCACCUCAAGUGGUCAGGAUGAUUAUUGGGCCUAAAGCAUCCGUAGCCGGCUCUGUAAGUUUUCGGUUAAAUCUGUACGCUUAACGUACAGGCUGCCGGGAAUACUGCAGAGCUAGGUAGUGGGAGAGGUAGACGGUACUCGGUAGGAAGGGGUAAAAUCCUUUGAUCUAUUGAUGACCACCUGUGGCGAAGACGGUCUACCAGAACACGUACGACGGUGAGGGAUGAAAGCUGGGGGAGCAAACCGGAUUAGAUACCCGGGUAGUCCCAGCUGUAAACUAUGCAAACUCAGUGAUGCAUUGGCUUGUGGCCAAUGCAGUGCUGCAGGGAAGCCGUUAAGUUUGCCGCCUGGGAAGUACGUACGCAAGUAUGAAACUUAAAGGAAUUGGCGGGGGAGCACCACAAGGGGUGAAGCCUGCGGUUCAAUUGGAGUCAACGCCAGAAAUCUUACCCGGAGAGACAGCAGAAUGAAGGUCAAGCUGAAGACUUUACCAGACAAGCUGAGAGGUGGUGCAUGGCCGUCGCCAGCUCGUGCCGUGAGAUGUCCUGUUAAGUCAGGUAACGAGCGAGAUCCCUGCCUCUAGUUGCCACCAUUACUCUCAGGAGUAGUGGGGCGAAUUAGCGGGACCGCCGCAGUUAAUGCGGAGGAAGGAAGGGGCCACGGCAGGUCAGUAUGCCCCGAAACUCUGGGGCCACACGCGGGCUGCAAUGGUAACGACAAUGGGUUUCGGAUUCGAAAGGAUGAGGUAAUCCUCAAACGUUACCACAGUUAUGACUGAGGGCUGCAACUCGCCCUCACGAAUAUGGAAUCCCUAGUAACUGCGUGUCACUAUCGCGCGGUGAAUACGUCCCUGCUCCU